This 275-nucleotide ribosomal RNA is filed under the name uncultured bacterium. RNAcentral describes it as "partial 16S ribosomal RNA". It matches the Rfam family "Bacterial small subunit ribosomal RNA", at positions 524 to 794 of the family's 1533-position model. The record is from RNAcentral.
UACGGAGGGUCCGAGCGUUAAUCGGAAUUACUGGGCGUAAAGCGUGCGCAGGCGGUUUGUUAAGCGAGAUGUGAAAGCCCCCGGGCUCAACCUGGGAAUUGCAUUUCGAACUGGCGAACGUAGAGUCUUGUAGAGGGGGUAGGAAUUCCAGGUGUAGCGGGUGAAAUAGCGUAGAGAUCUGGAGGAAUACCGGUGGCGAAGGCGGCCCCCUGGACAAAGACUGACGCUCAGGCACGAAAGCGUGGGGAGCAAACAGGAUUAGAUACCCUUGUAGU